RNAcentral lists this ribosomal RNA (253 nucleotides) under uncultured bacterium. RNAcentral describes it as "partial 16S ribosomal RNA". It matches the Rfam family "Bacterial small subunit ribosomal RNA", at positions 524 to 776 of the family's 1533-position model. The record is from RNAcentral.
UACGAAGGUGGCAAGCGUUGUUCGGAUUUACUGGGCGUACAGGGAGCGUAGGCGGUUGGGUAAGCCCUCCGUGAAAUCUCCGGGCCUAACCCGGAAAGUGCGGAGGGGACUGCUCGGCUAGAGGAUGGGAGAGGAGCGCGGAAUUCCCGGUGUAGCGGUGGAAUGCGUAGAGAUCGGGAAGAACAUCAGUGGCGAAGGCGGUCUGCUGGGCCGUUGCUGACGCUGAGGCGCGACAGCGUGGGGAGCAAACAGG